UACAGAGGUCUCGAGCGUUAGGCGGAAUCACUGGGCUUAAAGCGUGUGUAGGUGGAUGCCUAAGUACCUUGUGAAAUCCCACGGCUUAACUGUGGAACUGCUUGGUAUACUGCCAGUCUUGAGCCACUUAGGGGCUACCGGAACAAAUGGUGGAGCGGUGAAAUGCGUAGAUAUCAUUUGGAACGCCAAUGGUGAAAACAGGUAGCUGGGAGUGUGCUGACGCUGAGACACGAAAGCCAGGGGAGCAAACGGG
Molecule: ribosomal RNA, 253 nt
Filed under: uncultured bacterium
Lineage: Bacteria
Description: partial 16S ribosomal RNA
Rfam family: Bacterial small subunit ribosomal RNA
Source: RNAcentral